RNAcentral lists this ribosomal RNA (227 nucleotides) under uncultured bacterium. Its description in RNAcentral is "partial 16S ribosomal RNA". It matches the Rfam family "Bacterial small subunit ribosomal RNA", at positions 328 to 538 of the family's 1533-position model. The record is from RNAcentral.
ACGCUCGACACCUACGGGAGGCGGCAGUAGGGAAUCUUCCACAAUGGGCGCAAGCCUGAUGGAGCAAUACCGCGUGAGUGAAGAAGGGUUUCGGCUCGUAAAGCUCUGUUGUUGGAGAAGAACGUGCGUGAGAGUAACUGUUCACGCAGUGACGGUAUCCAACCAGAAAGUCACGGCUAACUACGUGCCAGAGCCGCGGUAAUCUGAGCGGGCCGUGGACGAACGGC